GUUAAACCGGAGGAAGGUGGGAUGACGUCAAGUCCUCAUGGCCUUUAUGCUUAGGGCUACACACGUGCUACAAUGGGUGGUACGAAAGAGAAAGCCAACUCGCGAGAGCGCGCCAAUCUCAAAAAGCCAUCCUCAGUUCGGAUUGGAGUCUGCAACUCGACUCCAUGAAGUUGGAAUCGCUAGUAAUCGCGGAUCAGCAUGCCGCGGUGAAUACGUUCCCGGGCCUU
This 227-nucleotide ribosomal RNA is filed under the name uncultured Smithella sp. Its description in RNAcentral is "partial 16S ribosomal RNA". It matches the Rfam family "Bacterial small subunit ribosomal RNA", at positions 1157 to 1382 of the family's 1533-position model. Lineage: Bacteria; Pseudomonadati; Thermodesulfobacteriota; Syntrophia; Syntrophales; Smithellaceae. The record is from RNAcentral.